GCUACGUAGCUCAGCUGGUUAGAGCACAUCACUCAUAAUGAUGGGGUCACAGGUUCGAAUCCCGUCGUAGC
RNAcentral lists this transfer RNA (71 nucleotides) under Klebsiella pneumoniae. RNAcentral describes it as "tRNA-Met". It matches the Rfam family "tRNA". Rfam says of the family: Transfer RNA (tRNA) molecules are approximately 80 nucleotides in length. Their secondary structure includes four short double-helical elements and three loops (D, anti-codon, and T loops). Further hydrogen bonds mediate the characteristic L-shaped molecular structure. tRNAs have two regions of fundamental functional importance: the anti-codon, which is responsible for specific mRNA codon recognition, and the 3' end, to which the tRNAs corresponding amino acid is attached (by aminoacyl-tRNA synthetases). tRNAs cope with the degeneracy of the genetic code in two manners: having more than one tRNA (with a specific anti-codon) for a particular amino acid; and 'wobble' base-pairing, i.e. permitting non-standard base-pairing at the 3rd anti-codon position. The record is from RNAcentral. RNAcentral also lists the same sequence under 1 other name. Lineage: Bacteria; Pseudomonadati; Pseudomonadota; Gammaproteobacteria; Enterobacterales; Enterobacteriaceae.